RNAcentral lists this transfer RNA (91 nucleotides) under Thermodesulfitimonas autotrophica. It matches the Rfam family "tRNA". From Rfam's summary of the family: Transfer RNA (tRNA) molecules are approximately 80 nucleotides in length. Their secondary structure includes four short double-helical elements and three loops (D, anti-codon, and T loops). Lineage: Bacteria; Bacillati; Bacillota; Clostridia; Thermoanaerobacterales; Thermoanaerobacteraceae. The record is from Rfam by way of RNAcentral.
GGAGAGAUGGCCGAGUGGUUGAAGGCGCGCGACUCGAAAUCGCGUAGGCGGCCCAAAAGCUGUCUCGUGGGUUCGAAUCCCACUCUCUCCG